GUCUAACCCUGGCCUGGAGCACUGGAGGAUGAGGUCCGCUGACUGCAGCGUCCAUCCUGGUCCUCCCCAGGCACUGUGGCCUCCCUCACAGCAUGGCUGCCUUGGGUACUCGGACUUCACGUGGAAGGCCAGGGCUCCGAGAGCAAAUGCCCCAGCAAGACAGAAGCUCAGCCGCCUUUGAUGACCUAGAAGCUAGGCAGCAUCCAUUGUACUGCCUUCUAUGGGUUGUGAGUGAGUCCCAAACCUGCCUUGACUCAAGGAAACGGAAUUAGGCUCUACGUCUUGACUAGGUAGUGGCGAAGUUCUGGAAGCACAUGAGUAGGAGAUACUGUGACGGUUUCAUCUUUGGAAAAUACCAUCUAGCACACCUGAAUCUGCUUUCAGGGGGUGUAAGGGGAUUUCCAUGGCAAAAUUUGAAGCCACAUGUGGUCACUGCUUUGUACUGAGGAAACAAAGUGCUCUGGGCAUCCAGAAAGGGGGUACGUUUUUUCUUACUGGGAUAAAUCUGGCUGCAUUUUAGCUAAUCCUGGAAAAUUGAUCGACAAAAGCAAAGGACCAAGAAAGCUGCUUAUAUCAGUGUCUCCUCCACCCUCAGCCUCCAGUAGCAUCCCUACGUUUUACAAUUUUAUUUAUGUCACUUUAAAUAAGGACAUUGAGAGGGAAAAGGCCUCAUCGACAUACCAACUACAGGCCAGGUGGACCUUCGGUGCACACACACCCCAGCGCCCACAGAGAUCCAGGCCUCCUGUGUAUGAAUGUGUGCCAUGAAUUUAGACCUAUUUCUCGCCUUCCGGGCUCUCUAUUCCUCAUCCUCCAUCCAAGUGGCCAUCUUGUGCAGUGCAUCCUCUGCAAUUUGAGGUGACCCUCUUCUCCAGCUGCUGCUGCAGAACCCCAAGUGUGGUCCCCACACCCCCUCACGGUACACUUCAGCAGGAAGGUGCUUCUGCGUCCCCCUGUCCUCAUCCUCCACUGCAGCUGUCCUGCUUCAUCUCUUCCUCCUGGACUCAGGUUGGCCUUGGGCCCUGCUCCAAAAGGAGCACAUUCACCACAGCUUCAGACUUCCUCCUGCUGCCGCUGCUCCUCGGAAGCAAACCUGGUGACUGCUGAUGUCCAGGCCUAGACCAUGCCUGGCAGAGCAGCCAUGGGGUGGAGAAACAAGUCCUCAAGAGGGCUGCGAGGAGAGGCACAGAGACGGUCAGGGAAACUGAGGUCACACAACUGGGAAUAAGAAGGUGGGGUGCUGGGGGGCUUGUCAAUGUGGUUCUUCCACAGAGGAUGGAAAGCCCCUUCAUUUCUGCCCAAGAAAGUAUCUUCAGCAUUCACCGAAAUCUCCCCAAGAGGGAAGCGCCGCAGGAAGGGGAACUAGGAAGGAAAUACAAGCUGGUGCUUACUCCAUCCCCGUCACAAAGAGGCUCAGAGAGAGACUUGGGAACGAUAUGCAUAUGCAAUUUUUUAAAUCACUCAUUCAAGAAAUAAUAAUGAAAAAUGAGUUAUAGGCAAUGGAUUAGUAAGUGCUGAUCAGAUUGACUAUGUAAGUGAAUUACAUUCAAAUUACAUGUGAAGGAGCUCUAUCAAGGGCAAUUAUGGGUCCUUCGAGAGGCUUUAAAAAGAGGAGGGAUGAAACUUGGUUAAAAUGGGGGCUCGUUAAAGGCAAGAGGAGUACAGAAUGGUUGAGGUAACUUUCUCUGUGCCCCACUGUCAGCCCUGCUCUGCCAAGCAGGCUUGCAGGUGGGGAUAUUUGCUUGCUCUGGGUUCAGCAAGUCCUUGUGCUGCCUUGCCUAACCUGCUUCCGAGGUAUCGGGUUUUAAGCUGGUGUGGCAAGAAUGAUAUUGGCCUUUGUGUUCUAAAGGAGUGGCAUGAAGCACAGUGGACCUUGAUCUUCAAUUGACGCCACAGUCUCCCUAAUCCACUGAUCUCCAAUCAUCCCACUAGAUUAGCCACCCUAUCAGGCAGUAUUUUUCCAUGUCCCAUGUGCUCAAGGACGAAGCUUUAAAAGCAAGCUUGGAAGCUUAUGCGAUGCAGUACAGUGUCGGGGGUUGGCAGGGGAGAGAAAAGCAAAGGACUUACAUUUGUUUUAGAAAUUGCUGCCAAAAGAUAAGCUUGUCUGUGCAACUAUAUGACUUCUGACACUGAGGCAGGGAGGAUUGUGAAACCAGGAUAGACAGAAUUUCAGCCAGCAAAUAAGUACACGUUCACUUUAGCCAGGGGGUGGGGUGGGGAGGCGGCUGGGAAGGGACUGAGUUUAUGAAGAGGCCUAGAGUAAUAGUUUCUGAAGCAUUACUUAUCUAGUGCUAGGCGGCAGAGUUCAUUUUGUUUGUAUGCGGUGAUUACUUGCAGUCUACAUGCAGAAAACCAGUUUAUCUAAUGAAGCGCAGGACUACAAAUAGAGGUUUCUUAAUAGAACCAGGCGACUGCCAUGGGCCUCACCCUGACCGCUGGGUCACAGAGCCUUACCAUCGGGGACUAGGCUUUGGGAGGCACUGAGGCAAGUUGGAGAAUUAGAAAAGGAGUCAGCCAUGAGUUAUGUCCUGGCUAUUACCGAGAGAUAAUCUAAAAAAUGAAAAUAAAGCUGCAUAUCAGGAGUUGGAAGCAAUGUUUUACUGAAGGGCAGUCCGGAGACAUGCAUUUUGUUUCCAGGUGUUCAAAUGCACUUCCUCUUGCUGAGGGGGCCCGAAAGCCUCCCGCUGGCUGCUCUGGGUCCCAGGUGCGUCCAGACGUUGCCAGACACACCUCUGUCAGGUGAGGCAGGCUCCAAGGGAGGAGGCCUUGGCUUUGUUAAUUUUGCAGAAGAGCAGGGACUUUCAUGACAAUUUUUUUGAUCUAAUGACAAGCUAUUUCCUCUACCAUUAGUGUCCCGAAGGGCAAAUUCUAAAGCCAAGGCCAUUUGAUAAAGCCUGGGGAAUUUAUUGCAAGGCAGAUGGACACAGCAGCAGCACAUAAGAGCACACGCGUGGGGCUCCAGCCCGGCCACGGGGAGACCUUUUCUCAGCAAAGGGCAGCACUGCUCGCUUUGCUGGGGCAGCCCUCCCAGGAAGAUCCCAGAAGAGAUGGUCUGAGGUGUGUGAACACUGUGAAUGUCAUGGACAAAGCUCAGCGUGGGACCCCAUGGGACUUCAGGCCCUGAAAGCAGCAGAUCUCACCUGCAUUGGAGGAUGAGACGCCACAUGAAGAAGAAAGAAGACGCCACAGACAGCAGCGCAGUACCACCUUCCAGAGAUGUGAGUGUGACCGUCUUUGACCUUCUAGCCCAGCUGCUUUCCCUGAAUGCAAUGCAUGAGCAGGCCAGGCAAAACUAGAGAGGGAAGCUGCCCAGCUAACCCACAGAAUUAUGAGAGAUAAAAAAUCAUUGUCUUAAGCCACUAAGUCUGUUAUGCAGCAAUAUAUAGCAUUCAUUCAACUUUUGUCUCAUGAAUACUCUCAUUUCUUUUAUAAGUUCUUUUGUGGUUCAAAUUAGCUCAAAUCAGUUUCUGAUGCUUAUGACCAAAUGCCCCUAUGUGAUAGAUUUUGAGGGGUUAAGAAGCUUGCUCGGAUCACACAGCGGUAAGUAGCAGCACUUCAUCUUUAACCCACCUCUGGCCCACUCCCUUUCCAUAGGUCCUUGUUGCCUCCCUCCCUAAUCCCUUCCAGUCUAGUUUCCUCACUCAUUUUAGCAUCUUGAAGAUGCCUGACCUUUUGUAACAGGCACUUAGAAGAGGCAAUAAUCAAGCUGUGAGCUGGAAUACUGGGUUUCUCAUCCAAUAACCAGGUUGGCAGGUUGGUAACCAUACAAGGGACUUUUCAAACUGGAGAAUUAGUGUGCUGAGCACAAAGUGGUGAGUAUUUUGAGAGUUACUGAAAUAUAAUUGACAUAACAAUAAAAAUACAAUAUUUAAGUGCAUGUAUUUCAAGUGUACGAUUUGACAAGUUUGGUUAUAUUAUAUACACCUACGAAACCAUCACCACAAUUAAGAAAAUGAGCAUAGCUAUCACACACAAAAGUUUCCUUGUGCCCCUUGGUAAUUCCUCCCUCUCUCCUGCCCACAUCUCUCCUUUUCCCAGGCAAUCCCUGAUCUGAUUUCUGCCGCUAUCAAUUCGUUUGCAUUUCCUAGAAUUUUAAAUAACUGAAAACAUACAUUAAGAACUCUUUUUCUCUGGCCGAGUAUGGUGGCUCACGCCUGUAAUCCCAGCACUUUGGGUGGCCAAGGCGGGCAGAUCACCUGAGGUCAGGAGUUCGAGACCACCCUGGCCAACGUGGUGAAACCCUGUCUCUACUAAACAUACAAAAAUUAGCCAGGCAUGGUAAUGGGCAUCUGUAAUCCCAGCUACUCGCGAGGCUGAGGCAGGAGAAUUGCUUGAACCUGGGAGACAGAGGUUGCAGUGGGCUGAGAUCACGCCACUGCACUCCAGCAUGGACAACAGAGCGAGACUCCGUCCCCAAAAAAGAAAAAAAAAAAGAACUUUUUUUUCUCCAGCUUCUCCCACUUAGCAUAAUUAUGUUGAGAUUCAGCCAUGUUUUCCUGUGGAUCAAUAAUUUAUUUCUUUAUAUUGCCAAGUGGUAUUCCAUCGUAUGUAUAUACCAUAGUUUGUUUAUCCAUUCAACCACUGAAAGACAUUAGGGUUGUUUUCUGUUUUGGGUUAAUAAAACAAAGCUUCUGUGAACAUUUAUCUACAAGUCUUUGUGUGGAUAUAAGUUUCCAUUUCUCUUAGGUAAAUAUCUAGGGUCAUAAAAUAAGUAUAUACCUAAAUUUUGAAGAAACUACCAAACUAUUUUACAAAAUGGUUGUAUUAUUUUACCUUUUUGCCAGCCAUAUAUGAGAGUGUCAAUUCCUUCACAUUCUUGUCAAAACUUGAUGUGUUCAGUCUUUUUAAUUUUGACCAUUCUAAAAGCAUGUAAUGGGGCCGGGCACAGUGGCUCACACCUGUAAUCCCAGCACUUUGGGAGGCCGAGGCGGGCAGAUCACGAGGUCAGGAGAUCGAGACCAUCCUGGCUAACAUGGUGAAUAAUACUAAAAAUACAAAAAAUUAGCCGGGCAUGGUGGUGGAUGCCUGUAGUCCCAGGUACUCAGGCGGCUGAGGCAGGAGAAUGGCCUGAACCCAGGAGGCAGAGCUUGCAGUGAGCUGAGAUUGCGACACUGCACUCCAGCCUAGGUGACAGAGCGAGACUCUAUCUAAAAAAACAAAACAAAAAUGAAAAAAAAAAACACACAAAAACAUGUAAUGGUAUCCCAUUGUGGUUUUAACUCACAUUACUGUCAGAGGCAUUGGAACCAGAGUGACUCCAUCUUGAGCAGAGGCUAGAUAAAAUAAAGCUGAGACCUUCUGGGCUGCAUUCCCAGGAGGUUAGGCAUUCUUAGUCACAAGAUGAGAUAGGAAGUUGGCACAAGUUACAGGUCACAAAGACCUUGCUGAUAAAACUGGAUGCAGUAAAGAAGCUGGCCAAAACCCACCAAAACUAAGAUAGUGAUGAAAGUGACCUCUGGUUGUCCUUACUGCUCAUUAUAUGCUAAUUAUAAUGCAUUAGCAUGCUAAAAGACACUCCCACCAGUGCCAUAACAGUUUACCAGUGCCAUGGCAACAUCAGGAAGUUACCCUAUAUGGCCUGAAAAGGGGAGGAACCCUCAGUUCCAGGAAUUGCCCACCUCUUUCCUAGAAAACUCAUGAAUAAGUCACCCCUUGUUUAGCAUAAAAUCAAGAAGUAACAAUAAGUAUAAGCAGCUGAGCGGCCCAUGCUGCUGCUCUGUCUAUGGAGCAGCCAUUCCUUUAUUCCUUCACUUUCUUUGUUUUUUGUUUUUUGUUUUGUUUUUUUGUUUGUUUUGAGACAGAGUCUCACUGUGACACCUAGUUUGGACUGCAAUGGCGCGAUCUUGGCUCACUGAAACCUCCGCUUCCCAGGUUCAAACGAUUCUCCUGCCUCAGCCUUCCGAGUAGCUGGGACUACAGGUGUGCACCACCAUGCCUGGCUAAUUUUUGUAGUUUUAGUAGAAAUGAGGUUUCGCCAUAUUGGCCAGGCUGUUCUUGAACUCCUGACCUUAAGUGAUCUGCCUGCUUUGGCCUCCCAAUGUGCUGGGAUUACAGGCUUCAACCACUGAGCCUGGCCUACUCCUUUGCUAUCUUAAUAAACUUGGUUUCAGCUUACUUUAUGGACUCGCCCUAAAUUCUUUCUUGUGCAAGGUCCAAGAACCUUCUCUUGGGGUCUGCAUCAGGACCCCUUUCUGCCCUUUCUGGUAACAGUACCAUAAUAACAAAUAUUAUCGAGCAUAUUUUCAUGUAAUUAUUUGCAACUUGUAUAUCUUCUUUGGUAGAGUGUCUGUUAGAAUAUUUUGUCUAUCUAAAAAUUGGGUUUGUUUUCUUAUUAUUGAAUUUUGAGAGUGUGUUAUAUGUUCUGGACACAAGCCCUUUAUCAGAGAUAUGGUUUGCAAAUAUUUUCUUCUAGUCUGUGACUUUUCUCUCUUAACAAUGUCUUUUGAAGAGCAGGUGUUUUAAAUUUUGAUGAAGUCAGAUGUAUCAAUUUAUGAUUUUAAUAAAUCAUGCUUUUAGCAUAGUAUUUAAGAUACUUAACCCAAGGUCACAAGAGUUUUCUUUUAGAAGUUUUAGUUUUAGGUUUUGCAUUUAGGUAUAUGAUCCAUUUUGAGUUAGUUUAUAUACAUUGUGCAAGGUAAGGACUGAGGUUUUUAAUUUUUGCAUAUAGAUUACCACUUGUGCCAACCUCACUGUUGUGAUGAUAUGAUAGAAAUCACUGUCUUUUCUCCACUGACUUGCUUUUGCAUCUUUGUAAAAAGUUGGUCAUGCCAAUGAAACUGACCCAAUUUUCCCAUAGAACUGAUGGGAAAAACUGUUUACAGUUUUGUUGUUGUUUUUUGUUUUUGUUUUUGUUUUUAAUGAACAUUGAAGUGGACUCUCCAGGUUUUAAAGCUUGAGAAACUUACAUUUGUCUUAUCUGAGUUUAUUUCUCAGGAAACCAGCUGUCAGGCCUCCCAGAUAGUAUCAGAAAGCUGAAGAUUUCCAGAUCGCUGCAUCCUAACAGCAAGGUGCCAGAACCCUGAUUCAACUACCUACUGCCUGUUGAGCAACUCCUACAUAAACUCCUAACUUUAUUGGUUACAGAGACAGAUUUUAGACUUGUCUCCCAUAUCCUGGCUGGCAUCACCAGCAAUAAAGCCUUUCUUCCUGGCAGUACUUGUUGUCUCAGUGAUUGGCUUUCUGUGUGGUGAGCAAUCAGACCUAAGCUGAAUCCCUGGCAUUCACCAACACAUAAAUGUGCAGUUCUGUUUCUGGACUCUCUCUUCUGCUUCAUUGAUCUGUUUUUCUAACUUUAUGCCAAAAUUGCACUAGUUUGAUUACUGUUCCUUUAUAAUAAGCUUUGAAAUAAUGUCAUAUUAGGCCUCCAACUUUGUUCUUCUUUUUGAAAACUGUUUUGGCUAUUUUAGGUCCUUGCAUUUCCAUAAAAGUAUUAGAAUCAGCUUAUCAAUUUCUCCAAAAAAAAAAAAAAAAGCCUACUGAGAUUUUGAUUGGGAUUGCACUGGAUUUAUAGACCAUUUUGGGGAGAACUGACAUCUUAACAAUAUUGAGUCUUCCUCCCAUGAACAAAGUAUAUUUCUUUAUUUGUUUAGGUCUUCUUUAAUUUUUCUCAACGAUGUUGUAUGGUUUUCAGUAUAUAGAUCUUUCAGAGUUUUGUCAGAUUAAUUCUUAAGUAUUUAAUAUUUUUGACCUAAUUGUAAAAGGUAUUAUUUCUUUCCGUUUCAAUUGCCAAUGGGUUAUUGCUAAUAUAUAGAAAUGCAAUUGAUUUUGCCUAUAACUUUGCUAAUAGUUCUAGUAGCUUUUUCAUGUGAAUUCCAUUGGCUAGUCUACAUAGCUCACUGACGCUCUGUUCAUUAAAAGAAUUUUUUCCCUCUGAGUUUCCUUUUAGGUAGCGUCUUUUGCUAUGAUUUCAAUUUCACUUUUUUCCCCUUCUUCAAUAGCUAAUCUGCUACUAAUCCUAUAGUGUUUUUUUCAUCUCAAUAUUGAACUUUCCAUCUGUAGAUGAUUUGAGUCUUUUCUAAAUCUUCCAUGUCUCUAUUUGACCUUUUAAACAUAUAGAAUACAGCUAUAGUAACUGUUUUAAUGUCCUUUUCUGUUUAUUCUACUGUCUGUGUCAGUUCUGGUUUGAUUUCAGUUUAUUGAUUAUUCUCUUCAUUAUGGCUAGUGUUUACCUCCUUCUUUUCAUGAUGAGUAAUUUUUUAUUUGAUGCCAGCCACUAUAAUUUUAUCUUGUUGGGUCUUGGGUUCUUUGCAAUCUUAUAAGUGUUCUUCAGCUUUGUUCUGCAAUACAGUUAAGAUACUUGGCAACACUUGAAUACUUAAAGUCUUGCUUUUAAGAUUUUUUAGGUGGUACUACAGCAGUGCUCAGUUUAGGCAUAAUUAUUCCCCACUACUAAGUUAAGACCCUUCUGUGUACUCUAUUUAUUGCUUCAUGAAUCAUGGUCUUAAAUGUGGCUGGUAAGAAUAGGUACUAUUUCUAGCUGUGUCCGAGUAUCAGACAUUGUUUCUUCUAAUCCACUCAGGUGGUUCUUUUGGCCUUGGGUAAUUUUCUGUCAUGCAUGCACAAAUCAAUACUCAGAAGAAUACUUAAGGAGGUCCCUCUGCAAAACCCUAGAACUCUGUGUGCACAAAUCUCUCCUCUCUGGGAACCUGCUUGUGAGUUCUCACUGCUGUGGUUUUUCCAACCUUCAACUCUGUCUCCCCAACUCAGGGAGGCCUUGGGGCUCCACCAGGGUUCCCUCUCCCUAUAUCUUAGCCUCAAAACUCUUUCACAGUAGUAAAUUUUGGCCACUGUAUGGAUGACAUUAUUUAUGUCUCAUCUCUUAAGUAUCAAAGUAUCAUUAUCCUUAAUUGCCUGGUGUCCAGUACCUUAAAAUUGCUAUUUAAUAUAUUUUGCUUUUUUUUUUUUUUCAGGGAGGAGGGUAAAUCCAAUCCAUCUUGAAUGAGCAUAUGUAUUAGUUUUUAUGCUCCUGAUAAAGACAUAGCUGAGGCUGAGCAAUUUACAAAAGAAAGAGGUUUAAUAGACUUAUAGUUCCUUAUGGCUGGGGAGGCCUCACAAUCAUGGCGGAAGGCAAGAAGGAGCAGGUCACAUCUUACGUGGAUGGCAGUAGGCAAAGAGUUUGUGCAGAGAAACUCACAUUUUAAAACCAUCAGAUCUCCUGAGACCCACGAGAACAGCACAAGAAACAGCACGGGAAAGACGUGCCCCCAUGAUUCAACCAUCUCCCACUGGGUCCCUCCAACAACAUGUGGGAAUUAUGGGAGCUACAAGAUGAGAUUUCGGUGGGGACACAGAGCCAAACCAUAUCAGGGUAGAAUGGUAUUAAAGAAAAAGAUUUUCUUACACUUAUUAAGGCAGUAAGAAAGAUUUAUUCAAGAUUAUUGCAAUAGGUAUCAAGACUGUGCAAUAGGAGACAGGAAAUGGUUGAGCUCAACUCUGAAUACAGCAAAAACCACUGGAGGUUUUUAGCCAGUGAGCAGAAUGGGAGGAGAAGAGUCAGUGGAUGGAAAAUUACUAAGAGGAGAAAUCAAAGGUGGGAGGAUUUUCCCUAAACUGACUUAGCAGGACUCUUGUUACAAUUGGACUAGGCAGGCUGAAGACAGGAUGCAAGGACAAAGCUUGUUGAAAAGAGGCCUCAGAGGAGCUCAUCUAAAAUUUGGUCAAGGGGAGGGUCUUUCUUGGUCCCUCCUCUUGUUCAAGGGAAAAAGAGACAUUCUUCUUUCCUUUGAACAAUAUAAGUCAAUUUCUCAUUUGGUGGCCUUUUUUUCAUUAAGGACAAGCUGAGCCCCCUGCUGAAACUUGGUAGCAGGGCAGCCAGUUGAGAAGAUUUCUAGAUGUCAAGGCAUCUUUAGAUGAUGGGGUGAGGACUGCAGUGGCCAUCCCAGAUCAUGGAUUUUCUGGUUUGCAGUUUGAAUGUCCUUGGUGAUGGCAUAGACAUCAGUGUCACAGUCAUGGUUAUUUUUCCGAGCAGAGUGUAGAAGUGUCCAACUUCAUCUUGAAGGGCUUCUUUAGACAGUCACAAUAAAGAUCUGGGAAGUUAGGUUUUAGUUCUCAGUGAUGCCAAAUCAGGACAGUGGGAGAAAAAUUAAAAACCUCAGUUUGGAGAGUGGUAGCCAGAUAGUAAAGGGAACUAGAAGAACUGAGAAUUUGGUAAGGACUGACAAGCUGUGCAUGAUGACAGGAUCCCGUUCAAUUUACAAGUAGAUAACAAAACCUGAAAGACAAGUACAGGACCAGAAUAAUAACCCAUAAGAAGGUGCUAUAGUUUUUAUAAAAUAUCUUUCUACAGUCAUCCCCCUUUUUUGAUCCAAAUUAACCAAAGUAAGAUUAUUCUUGUUUACAAAAUAAGUCUUGUCUCAUUAUAUUUGACUUACUUAUUUGCAUAAUUGCAGCAAGAAUGGCAACUGACCAGGUAGGCUUAUUUAAGUUUGCAUUGCUGGAACUUUUUACAAGUAAUCUCAGAUUAUGCUUUCAAGAGUUCUUGAAGCUAUAAAGCCAAGUCAAGCACCACCAGGCCUUAUCUGCAAUGCCUAGAGAUUCAGAUGGGUUCUUCUCUUCUUGAGGUCCUAAAAACAUCCUGAGUUUCUUUGGCCUGCCAGAAAGUCACCUUCCUGACUCACCUGUAAGGCUGGGAACUCCAUAAUCCAGGUACCAGGCAGACUUUCCGGGAGGGCUUCAUAUGCAUUGGCUCCAUAAAGUUAACCUUAGUUCCUCAAAACUGUCUGUUCAUAUGUGAUUUUAUGUCUUAUUCUCAGUUGGAAAUGCAGAAAUCACCUGUCUUCUGCGUCGAUCAGGCUGGGAGCUGCAGACCGGAGCUGUUCCUAUUCGGCCAUCUUGGAAUGGACCCCCAUGUCUUAUUCUCAAAUAAAACAUUUUGGUCAAAGCCUUGAUUAUCUAAUCAAUUUUUAAAAUUAUGUUCUGUUACAAAAAGGACAGAUUCUUAUCGAACCCAUAUAAAAUAGUAUAUCACCAUUGAUACGGUUUGGAUCUGUGUCCCCACUCAAAUCUGAUGUUCAAUUGUAAUCUCCCAGUGUUAGAGGUGAG
RNAcentral lists this long non-coding RNA (11040 nucleotides) under Homo sapiens (human). RNAcentral describes it as "HSALNT0324037". Lineage: Eukaryota; Metazoa; Chordata; Mammalia; Primates; Hominidae. The record is from RNAcentral.